GGCCCAUCAAGACUCACUCUCAUUUCAUCAGUCCAUAAAACCUUAGAAAAAUCAGUCUUGAGAUAUUUCUUGGCCCAGUCUUGACGUUUCAGCUUGUGUGUCUUGUUCAGUGGUGGUCGUCUUUCAGCCUUUCUUACCUUGGCCAUGUCUCUGAGUAUUGCACACCUUGUGCUUUUGGGCACUCCAGUGAUGUUGCAGCUCUGAAAUAUGGCCAAACUGGUGGCAAGUUGCAUCGUGGCAGCUGCACGCUUGACUUUUCUCAGUUCAUGGGCAGUUAUUUUGCGCCUUGGUUUUUCCACACGCUUCUUGCGACCCUGUUGACUAUUUUGAAUGAAACGCUUGAUUGUUCGAUGAUCACGCUUCAGAAGCUUUGCAAUUUUAAGAGUGCUGCAUCCCUCUGCAAGAUAUCUCACUAUUUUUGACUUUUCUGAGCCUGCCAAGUCCUUCUUUUGACCCAUUUUGCCAAAGGAAAGGAAGUUGCCUAAUAAUUAUGCACACCUGAUAUAGGGUGUUGAUGUCAUUAGACCACACCCCUUCUCAUUACAGAGAUGCACAUCACCUAAUAUGCUUAAUUGGUAGUAGGCUUUCGAGCCUAU
Non-coding RNA from Pelobates cultripes (western spadefoot toad), 596 nucleotides. The record is from the annotation of a GenBank genome assembly. NCBI's taxonomy places the organism in Eukaryota, Metazoa, Chordata, Amphibia, Anura, Pelobatidae.